This 71-nucleotide transfer RNA is filed under the name Darevskia parvula. Its description in RNAcentral is "tRNA-Leu". It matches the Rfam family "tRNA". From Rfam's summary of the family: Transfer RNA (tRNA) molecules are approximately 80 nucleotides in length. Their secondary structure includes four short double-helical elements and three loops (D, anti-codon, and T loops). Further hydrogen bonds mediate the characteristic L-shaped molecular structure. tRNAs have two regions of fundamental functional importance: the anti-codon, which is responsible for specific mRNA codon recognition, and the 3' end, to which the tRNAs corresponding amino acid is attached (by aminoacyl-tRNA synthetases). tRNAs cope with the degeneracy of the genetic code in two manners: having more than one tRNA (with a specific anti-codon) for a particular amino acid; and 'wobble' base-pairing, i.e. permitting non-standard base-pairing at the 3rd anti-codon position. Lineage: Eukaryota; Metazoa; Chordata; Lepidosauria; Squamata; Lacertidae. The record is from RNAcentral.
ACUUCUAUAGGAAAGCAGAAAUCCGCUGGUUUUAGGUACCAACAACCUUGGUGCAACUCCAAGUAAAAGUA